RNAcentral lists this long non-coding RNA (1045 nucleotides) under Cricetulus griseus (Chinese hamster). RNAcentral describes it as "lncRNA (ENSCGRG00015020786.2)". Lineage: Eukaryota; Metazoa; Chordata; Mammalia; Rodentia; Cricetidae. The record is from RNAcentral.
GCCGUCGCCGCCGCGCUCCCCCCGUGCCCCCCCCCUCCCCCGCCCUCCCGGCCCGGGCCUGCCAGGCCGAGCGUUUACCGCGGGCUGGCGCCGAGGCGCGCGGUCACCGACUGCAGGCGGCGGCGGCUCCGACCUUCCCACGGGCCCGGCAAGGAGGGCGAGGGGGAGGGGAGAGAACUUUUGCUGUGGCAGCUCCGGCGACAGCUCCCACCCCUGCGCCUUUCUCCUCUUCCUCCCCCUCCUCCUCCUCCUCCUCUUCCUCCUUCUCUUCCUCCUCCCAGAGCAGUCGAGAAGCAGACAUGGCGCGGCUAGAGCGCCGCCGCGGUCGCCGCCGCUUGCCUGAGCGGUGCAUUGUGGGAAGCCCCGCACACAGGAAGCGCUCGGCCCUCGCCUGGCACGGAGACCUGGCUGCGAGACCCGGAGCGUGGCUUUGAUUCCGGCGCCUGCGUGUCAGCCGCGCAGCGUGGCCGGGGAAGCUGGCCUCGCGCCGCGGUCCCCCUGAUGGGCCUGCGAGGAAGACGCUUUGAAAUAGAGCGGAGCUGGGAAAGCUCCUGCGAGGGACGACCGCCCCUUGAGGCUGGCCUCUUACCUAGCCUCUCAUCUGCGACCCCGAGGGUCACGUUUUCCGGAAGAUGCAAUCCUGCAUCCUUGAACCAGAAGACCUUGUUGGAGUCUGCAAACUGUGAUGCAGGGUGUGAGCACCGAGAAAAAGCAAAGAGAUCCCAGUCGGGACUUUGUUGGGCCCAAACCUCGUUCUGCGCACCAACAAAGAUCUGAUUAUGAUCUAUACAGACCUAAGAUUGCUCAUUUGUCCCGUCUUUUGGAGACUCUUUGGUGACCUUCAGUAAAUCGUGUCCUUCCUACCCUCAUUUAACUAACAUCAAGCCCCUGAGUUGCCUGUACAGAGGGAUGGCUUACAAUUACGCGCUUUUGUACCACACACUAAUACAAGGUCAGCUAGCAACUGUUUCUUGCUUUCCUAAAGAGAAUGAUGUAGCCACACUGAGAACUGAAGAGCUGGGCUGGGAGUGCAGCUCAGCGGUAG